AGAGUUUGAUCCUGGCUCAGAACGAACGCUGGCGGCAGGCUUAACACAUGCAAGUCGAACGCCCCGCAAGGGGAGUGGCAGACGGGUGAGUAACGCGUGGGAACGUACCUUUCAGUUCGGAAUAGCUCAGGGAAACUUGUGAUAAUACCGGAUACGUCCGUAAGGAGAAAGAUUUAUCGCUGAAAGAUCGGCCCGCGUUGGAUUAGCUAGUUGGUGGGGUAAAGGCCUACCAAGGCGACGAUCCAUAGCUGGUCUGAGAGGAUGAUCAGCCACACUGGGACUGAGACACGGCCCAGACUCCUACGGGAGGCAGCAGUGGGGAAUAUUGGACAAUGGGCGAAAGCCUGAUCCAGCCAUGCCGCGUGUGUGAUGAAGGCCUUAGGGUUGUAAAGCACUUUCACCGAUGAAGAUAAUGACGGUAGUCGGAGAAGAAGCCCCGGCUAACUUCGUGCCAGCAGCCGCGGUAAUACGAAGGGGGCUAGCGUUGUUCGGAAUCACUGGGCGUAAGCGCACGUAGGCG
RNAcentral lists this ribosomal RNA (520 nucleotides) under uncultured bacterium. RNAcentral's name for it is "bacterial SSU rRNA". It matches the Rfam family "Bacterial small subunit ribosomal RNA", at positions 8 to 577 of the family's 1533-position model. The record is from RNAcentral.